GGGUCAGUACGAUGGUAUUGCCACCGGUACGUACUGGUCUCACUGAUUCCUCCUUCCUGAAGAACCGUAAUGCCAUUAAUUUGGUGUUGCGGGGAAACAGGACUGUUACUUUGAAAAAAUUAGAGUGUUUAAAGCAAGCUAACGCUUGAAUACAUUAGCAUGGAAUAAUGAAAUAGGACGAUCGAUCCUAUUUUGUUGGUUUCUAGGAUUGACGUA
RNAcentral lists this ribosomal RNA (216 nucleotides) under Glomeromycotina sp. RNAcentral describes it as "partial small subunit ribosomal RNA". The stretch from base 40 to 216 matches the Rfam family "Eukaryotic small subunit ribosomal RNA", at positions 686 to 864 of the family's 1831-position model. Lineage: Eukaryota; Fungi; Glomeromycota. The record is from RNAcentral.